UGAAACAAUCUGUCUUACACAUGCCUAGUCC
This 31-nucleotide non-coding RNA is filed under the name Mus musculus (house mouse). The record is from RNAcentral. Lineage: Eukaryota; Metazoa; Chordata; Mammalia; Rodentia; Muridae.